Molecule: long non-coding RNA, 581 nt
Organism: Ostrea edulis (European flat oyster)
Lineage: Eukaryota; Metazoa; Mollusca; Bivalvia; Ostreida; Ostreidae
Exons: 2
Source: RefSeq, a predicted model, not a curated record
AUGAACUUCUCUGUUAACCCCGUACACAACUAUUUCCUCAUCUGCCGUUAUCUCUAUAGCCUUGUGAGACAUCUCAGUGUGAUCUAACCGGAAGUCAGGGUUGACUGCUAGUCGAUGUACCACUUCACAGGUAACCACAAAACGUUGGUUGACGUGGAGUUUGGAAGUACGGGAUGAGGUCAUGUGCACAUGAACUGAUGUGUUGCUGGCCGUGGUGAUGGAAUUCGCAGGACUGAUAUCUGGACGCUAAGUGAAGUUGUCUAGGAAAGGAAUGAGGAAGCGUGUCCCUCUGCUAUCUAGGACACGUAAAUAAAAUCCAACAGCAUAUCACAAACAGAUUCAUCUUACAGUGUGCCAGGGGAAGAAGUGUGAAUACCCUUGACGUACAAUUGAUGGCAGGAAUGAUACAAUCAUAUUGUUACAAGAGAAGAUGGCACUAUCAGAAGGGUCACCACUGCGUAGGAGUCCACUGGUUUUGCAGGAAUUCAUUGUUUAUCUGAUACAAUAUGUUUUUGAUUUUAAAAUUCUGAUUUGUUAUUCGUAGUUGUAAGACGGACAACAUACAUGGUUUUUAAUCAACA